CGGGAUCCCUAGAGGCUAAAACAGAAAUUAUAAUCCCUAUUCCCAAAUCUUACUAUUUCGGUCUUUUCUCUCUUCAUUUCCUUCACUUCUUCCUCGAUCUUGAAGGCGGACACCGUGAGGAAGGACGAAGGAGCGGCUUACCAGUCGAGCGUCGGACGGAGCUCAGCUCUCUCUUCCCCUUAAUCUCUUUGCCCUCUUCUCCGUCGGUGAAUGACUCUCCGGGUCUUCUGGAGAAAGACGAGGGUUUCGCGGGUGUGAUUUUUCCCCAAAAUUCGAUGCCCUAAUUUAGGGACUCGUUGUUUCACGGGCGUGGUUUUCCCCCAAAAUCCGAAACGGCCCGACGGGGGUCUUGAAGGUGAUCUUCCCGGUGAGCUCCUUGAUCUUCCCCCAAAUUCCUGAUCUUGCCCUGCUCUACCUGGACCGUGAUCUCGGGCGCGUAGGAGACUAGCUUCCCGAUCUUCUCGAGCUUGCAGGGACCUGACUGGGUAUUCUUUGGAAGGGCCGCUGGCGCCGGAGCUUGGAAAACUUAGUCAAUUACGAUCUCUUGUUUUUGCAGGGUGUGAACUCUCUAUUUUGCCUCCGUGACAAAGCUCUCUUCUGACUGAAGUAAGGAAAAAAUAAUCUCAAGAGAUGACUCUUUCCGAUGCAAUGAUGCACAAUAAUCUCUCCUUGUGUCGUUAAAGCCAUUCAUAUACAAGUUAGAUGGCCCUUUUAUUUGGAGAGAGUCUGGGAUUUGCAGUAGGAACUACUAUCAAAUGUUGUGAAGCAUUCAUCUUAUCUUGAUAUGAACAACCAUUGGCAUAUUUUCAUAAGGAGCAGAAUCAGAUGACCCUUGUAUUUGGAGUCAUUGUCAAACUAUCAUACUUGCUUCUUGGUCUACCAUGCUUAAAUCUCACCCAUGCACAUUGGGAACCUGUCUCGCUGUUCCCUGCACCUAAACACUACCCUGCUGAGGCAAAUUACAAGGUUUGAAAGGUUAAAGGGAUAAACAUAGUCCACUCAUUCAGAUACAUGAUGCAUUGUAACUUUCAAUGUCGAAUUGUACAGUUUCUCAGCGAUUACUGUCUUACUUUUUGUCUUGUUAGAAAUUCAUGCCAAGUUCCUCACGUUAAUCUUGAUAUUUUCGCUCCUGUAGGCCAGGAGAGUUACAGAGGCUUCGAAAAAUGACAAAUAUCAGUACACAUACUUUGGACACAAGAUAAACAGUUUCAAUAGUGCUCCCAAAAAAGUUCUGGCUUUUGACUCUCAUCUACGUCUCGAUAGAUAUGCACUUGAGCAGGGUGACCUCCCUAAAACUGGUGAUGAAAAGAGCAGGUUUCUCUUCUUCUUCUUCUUCUUCUUGACUUUAGAUGUGAUGUUUUAAUUUGGCAUUAGUUGGUACAUGCGAAAAAAAUUAAUUUUAAUUCUUGUUUGCGCCUCCUUUUGGUGUUGGUUAAGGUUAAUUUAGUUAUGUGCAGCUUGUAGAAGAUUGGCUUU
Syzygium oleosum is the source of this 1476-nucleotide long non-coding RNA. RefSeq lists it as uncharacterized. Lineage: Eukaryota; Viridiplantae; Streptophyta; Magnoliopsida; Myrtales; Myrtaceae. The record is from RefSeq and is a predicted model, not a curated record. The transcript is spliced from 2 exons.